Molecule: ribosomal RNA, 253 nt
Filed under: uncultured bacterium
Lineage: Bacteria
Description: partial 16S ribosomal RNA
Rfam family: Bacterial small subunit ribosomal RNA
Source: RNAcentral
UACGUAGGGAGCUAGCGUUGUUCGGAAUCACUGGGCGUAAAGCGUACGUAGGCGGCCCGCUAAGUCGAACGUGAAAUCCCCGGGCUCAACCCGGGAACUGCGUCCGAUACUGGCAGGCUUGAAUCCGGGAGAGGGAUGCGGAAUUCCAGGUGUAGCGGUGAAAUGCGUAGAUAUCUGGAGGAACACCGGUGGCGAAGGCGGCAUCCUGGACCGGCAUUGACGCUGAGGCGCGAAAGCCAGGGGAGCAAACGGG